UGAAUGAUUUCACACGCUACCCUUUGUCUUUUCAUCCUUCACACACAAUCCUACCAUCUCUUUCAACACGUUUUAUACUUCUCCAUCUCUCUCCACAACUGCUUGUCUUUUCCAACCAAUAACAAAUACAUCUUCCAAUAAUCUCCAACUCUGAAGUUCACUAUGGCAAGACCUUUUGAAAAAUUGAAGGACAUCAAUGAAAGUAAGGAAGUCUGAAAAAUUGUCGUCAGAAUCCAUCACAAAUAGACAAUUUUAUCAAAGACUAAAGAGCACAUCGAAUUGAUUCUGGUUGAUAAAGAGGAGCUAUACUUUUGAAGCAACAACUAAUUGCAUUUGUUGAGAUAGUAACUCCAUCUCUGAAAGUAUAUAUUAAGGUGUCAAUGUUGGAAAUAUACAAUGAAACGGUUUGAGAUUUGUUCUCUAUAACAAAUAAGUUUGCAGCAGACACAACUCGAGUAGAAAACGGUACUCCUGGGAUGCAAUACACAAUCAAACAUGAUGCC
Molecule: long non-coding RNA, 503 nt
Organism: Vicia villosa (hairy vetch)
Lineage: Eukaryota; Viridiplantae; Streptophyta; Magnoliopsida; Fabales; Fabaceae
Exons: 3
Source: RefSeq, a predicted model, not a curated record